UACGUAGGGGGCAAGCGUUGUCCGGAUUUAUUGGGCGUAAAGAGCGUGUAGGCGGCCAGAUAGGUCAGCUGUGAAAACUCGAGGCUCAACCUCGAGAUGUCGGCUGAAACCAUCUGGCUAGAGUCCGGAAGAGGAGAAUGGAAUUCCCGGUGUAGCGGUGAAAUGCGCAGAUAUCGGGAAGAACACCCGUGGCGAAGGCGGUUCUCUGGGACGGUACCGACGCUGAGACGCGAAAGCGUGGGGAGCGAACAGG
Molecule: ribosomal RNA, 253 nt
Filed under: uncultured bacterium
Lineage: Bacteria
Description: partial 16S ribosomal RNA
Rfam family: Bacterial small subunit ribosomal RNA
Source: RNAcentral